GCGGGGGAUGCCGGUGGCGGCAGUGGCGGCGACGGCAGUAACAGCGGCGGUUCCAGCGGGGACGCGAGCGGGGCGGUGACCGUGUGGGAGGUGGUCUCACUCUUGGGAAAACUGCUGGGCACCGUCGCCGCGCUGAAGGUGGUUCUGUACCUGCUCCGGGUGUGCUUAGCGAUGGCCUGGAAAUCCGGCGGCGCCAGCCACUCGGAGCUAAUCCACAAUCUCCGCAAAAAUGGAAUCAUCAAGACAGAUAAAGUAUUUGAAGUUAUGCUAGCGACAGACCGCUCCCACUAUGCGAAAUGUAACCCAUAUAUGGAUUCUCCACAAUCAAUAGGUUUCCAGGCAACAAUCAGUGCCCCACACAUGCAUGCGUAUGCACUAGAACUUCUAUUUGAUCAAUUGCAUGAAGGAGCUAAAGCUCUCGAUGUAGGAUCUGGAAGUGGAAUCCUUACUGCAUGCUUUGCACGUAUGGUUGGAUGUAGUGGCAAAGUCAUAGGAAUUGAUCACAUUAAAGAGCUAGUAGAUGACUCGAUAAAUAAUGUCAGAAAGGAUGAUCCAGCACUUCUGUCUUCUGGGAGAGUGCAACUAGUUGUGGGAGACGGAAGAAUGGGAUAUGCCGCAGAAGCCCCUUACGAUGCCAUUCACGUCGGAGCUGCUGCCCCAGUUGUGCCCCAGGCUCUAAUAGACCAGUUAAAGCCUGGUGGAAGACUGAUAUUGCCCGUCGGCCCCGCAGGUGGAAACCAGAUGUUGGAGCAGUACGAUAAGCUACAGGACGGCAGCGUCAAAAUGAAGCCUCUGAUGGGGGUGAUAUACGUGCCUUUAACAGAUAAAGAAAAGCAGUGGUCCAGGUGGAAGUGAUUUUCUCUUCUGCUCUUUCUUCCACAUGUGCAAGUCAUUCCAUUAUACAAGUAUACGAUUACCACUGAAUAAAAGAGGGAUGAACUGUAAAAGCAACAUCAGCUCGACCAGUCCAUAAUAAUGCAGUGGAUUGCUCAUCUCAGUCCUCACAGCUUUUUGAAAACCAACAGCAUCACAGCUUGUUUUGGACUUCGUUACACUAUUAUUUUCAGCAUGAAAAUGUGUGGUUUUAUAGGGUUUCUAAUUCUUCAAGGAGGCACAGAUUGGUAGGAAAGAUGCAAAGUAUGGAUUUGUGUAUGAUUACUUUAACUUGCCCACAGUUUACAUUAAAAUAUUAAAAGAAAGGGUUCUGAAAACUUAGUUUGUGAGUUGAUUUUCAGGAGUGGUUUUCUUUUCUUGGACACUUAAUUCUGUUCCAAUAUUAAUUUAUCAGAUUGCUUUUGUGCAUCAGAUAACACCACCAUUCACAAGUUACGAUUUCUUGGUAUUUGGAUGUCUGUUAGAUGCUACUAAGAAAAAUAGAGAUGAGCUUUCUUUUUAAAGCUUUCGAUGUGGUGUUCUAGAAUAGCAUGUUGUAGAUACAAUCAGCUGCUUCGUUACCUUCAGACUAGGCAUUUGUAAAUAUGAAACUAAAGAUGAUGGCAGGGAAUGUCCUGCAGACACUCGGCUGUUCAGAUUGGACAUAACUGCCAUAGUUCUUCCUUCCUCCCUCUGAAAUUGGUAGGAGACCUGUAGCGCAGUCUUGUUAUUUCUGUUUCUAAUUUGCUGCUGAUAACGUAUAUGAACCUAACAUGCUGUGUAAGCUGUGUCCUAGCUCCUGAACAGUUUAUGCAGUGCUGCUUUGCCAAAUAAAGUUCAAAGUAAAAGA
RNA transcript from Tupaia belangeri chinensis (Chinese tree shrew), 1723 nucleotides. It is a transcript of the gene named protein-L-isoaspartate (D-aspartate) O-methyltransferase, with no coding region annotated. The record is from RefSeq and is a predicted model, not a curated record. NCBI's taxonomy places the organism in Eukaryota, Metazoa, Chordata, Mammalia, Scandentia, Tupaiidae. The transcript is spliced from 9 exons.